GAUGAACGCUGGCGGCGUGCCUAAUACAUGCAAGUCGAGCGAACGGACGAGAAGCUUGCUUCUCUGAUGUUAGCGGCGGACGGGUGAGUAACACGUGGAUAACCUACCUAUAAGACUGGGAUAACUUCGGGAAACCGGAGCUAAUACCGGAUAAUAUUUUGAACCGCAUGGUUCAAAAGUGAAAGACGGUCUUGCUGUCACUUAUAGAUGGAUCCGCGCUGCAUUAGCUAGUUGGUAAGGUAACGGCUUACCAAGGCAACGAUGCAUAGCCGACCUGAGAGGGUGAUCGGCCACACUGGAACUGAGACACGGUCCAGACUCCUACGGGAGGCAGCAGUAGGGAAUCUUCCGCAAUGGGCGAAAGCCUGACGGAGCAACGCCGCGUGAGUGAUGAAGGUCUUCGGAUCGUAAAACUCUGUUAUUAGGGAAGAACAUAUGUGUAAGUAACUGUGCACAUCUUGACGGUACCUAAUCAGAAAGCCACGGCUAACUACGUGCCAGCAGCCGCGGUAAUACGUAGGUGGCAAGCGUUAUCCGGAAUUAUUGGGCGUAAAGCGCGCGUAGGCGGUUUUUUAAGUCUGAUGUGAAAGCCCACGGCUCAACCGUGGAGGGUCAUUGGAAACUGGAAAACUUGAGUGCAGAAGAGGAAAGUGGAAUUCCAUGUGUAGCGGUGAAAUGCGCAGAGAUAUGGAGGAACACCAGUGGCGAAGGCGACUUUCUGGUCUGUAACUGACGCUGAUGUGCGAAAGCGUGGGGAUCAAACAGGAUUAGAUACCCUGGUAGUCCACGCCGUAAACGAUGAGUGCUAAGUGUUAGGGGGUUUCCGCCCCUUAGUGCUGCAGCUAACGCAUUAAGCACUCCGCCUGGGGAGUACGACCGCAAGGUUGAGACUCAAAGGAAUUGACGGGGACCCGCACAAGCGGUGGAGCAUGUGGUUUAAUUCGAAGCAACGCGAAGAACCUUACCAAAUCUUGACAUCCUUUGACAACUCUAGAGAUAGAGCCUUCCCCUUCGGGGGACAAAGUGACAGGUGGUGCAUGGUUGUCGUCAGCUCGUGUCGUGAGAUGUUGGGUUAAGUCCCGCAACGAGCGCAACCCUUAAGCUUAGUUGCCAUCAUUAAGUUGGGCACUCUAAGUUGACUGCCGGUGACAAACCGGAGGAAGGUGGGGAUGACGUCAAAUCAUCAUGCCCCUUAUGAUUUGGGCUACACACGUGCUACAAUGGACAAUACAAAGGGCAGCGAAACCGCGAGGUCAAGCAAAUCCCAUAAAGUUGUUCUCAGUUCGGAUUGUAGUCUGCAACUCGACUACAUGAAGCUGGAAUCGCUAGUAAUCGUAGAUCAGCAUGCUACGGUGAAUACGUUCCCGGGUCU
This 1372-nucleotide ribosomal RNA is filed under the name uncultured bacterium. RNAcentral's name for it is "bacterial SSU rRNA". It matches the Rfam family "Bacterial small subunit ribosomal RNA", at positions 28 to 1381 of the family's 1533-position model. The record is from RNAcentral.